This 429-nucleotide ribosomal RNA is filed under the name uncultured Acidobacteriota bacterium. RNAcentral's name for it is "bacterial SSU rRNA". It matches the Rfam family "Bacterial small subunit ribosomal RNA", at positions 355 to 776 of the family's 1533-position model. The record is from RNAcentral. Lineage: Bacteria; Pseudomonadati; Acidobacteriota.
UGGGGAAUUUUUCGCAAUGGGGGAAACCCUGACGAAGCAACGCCGCGUGGAGGAUGAAGGCCUUCGGGUCGUAAACUCCUGUCGACUGGGAAGAAUGCACCUGACCUAAUACGUCAAAGUGUUGACUGUACCGGUGGAGGAAGCCACGGCUAACUCUGUGCCAGCAGCCGCGGUAAUACAGAGGUGGCAAGCGUUGUUCGGAAUUACUGGGCGUAAAGGGCGCGUAGGCGGCCCGCCAAGUCCCGUGUGAAAUCCCCCGGCUCAACCGGGGAACGGCGCGGGAAACUAGCAGGCUUGAGUUCGGGAGAGGGAAGCGGAAUUCCGGGUGUAGCGGUGAAAUGCGCAGAUAUCCGGAGGAACACCGGUGGCGAAGGCGGCUUCCUGGACCGACACUGACGCUGAGGCGCGAAAGCUAGGGGAGCAAACGGG